CAGAGAACAACUGUUAUUGUGGAGUCCGUUUGGGAAAAAUUGCAGCAAAGGAUGUCAAAUCUGUAAAGACUAACCCGAGAAAAAUGGGUAUAAGAAAACAUAGUAUACGAGGCUAACCAGUAAUAGGUCUCGAAAGAGUCUCGAAAGAAUGAACGCACGAAAAUAAUGCACCAUUGGGUCUGAUGAUUGUGUGCAACUUCCUUCAAGUUGUUCUACGGAGAGCUAACUGAAGAAAUCACUCAAGUCGCGAUUCUUCAUCAGCCGCUUCUCUCUAACAACUGAUUUGCUUGUGUGUUCUUAAUAAUUUAUUAUUAUUAAUGCUUUACUUCUUCAGAAAAUAGAUUGUGAUUGUGUA
RNAcentral lists this long non-coding RNA (355 nucleotides) under Penaeus japonicus. Its description in RNAcentral is "uncharacterized LOC122256835". The record is from RNAcentral. Lineage: Eukaryota; Metazoa; Arthropoda; Malacostraca; Decapoda; Penaeidae.